UACAGAGGUCUCAAGCGUUGUUCGGAUUCAUUGGGCGUAAAGGGUGCGUAGGCGGCGCGGUAAGUCGGGUGUGAAAUCUCGGAGCUUAACUCCGAAACUGCAUUCGAUACUGCCGUGCUUGAGGACUGGAGAGGAGACUGGAAUUUACGGUGUAGCGGUGAAAUGCGUAGAUAUCGGAAGGAACAUCAGUGGCGAAAGCGGCUCACUGGCUCAUUUCUGACGCUCAGGCGCGACAGCGUGGGGAUCAAACAGG
This 253-nucleotide ribosomal RNA is filed under the name uncultured bacterium. RNAcentral's name for it is "partial 16S ribosomal RNA". It matches the Rfam family "Bacterial small subunit ribosomal RNA", at positions 524 to 776 of the family's 1533-position model. The record is from RNAcentral.